This is a long non-coding RNA of Trachymyrmex septentrionalis, 557 nucleotides long. RefSeq lists it as uncharacterized. The transcript is spliced from 3 exons. NCBI's taxonomy places the organism in Eukaryota, Metazoa, Arthropoda, Insecta, Hymenoptera, Formicidae. The record is from RefSeq and is a predicted model, not a curated record.
GUUACUUAUUUGCGAUUUCCACAAUUGUGGAGAAAUUCCGAAAGUCAUAUCUCGGUAUUUGAGAAAUUUCUAUCUCACAUUUCACACAGCCAUUUCGCGCGCAAAAUACGCUCUACGUCUCUUUCGAUAGCGCUUGGGACGUCACUUAUUUGCACCGCAAUGCAACCCGUCCUGGGAAGAAAAUUAACCUUUGGACGAAAUCGAUUAGCUCGACCGAUAGAACGGCUUUAAAAGAUCUUUUUCAGAAAGGAAAAACUGCAUCGGUUCGUAAAAGCUGCUCGGAACCUCGGCCCUUUCCAAUGACACACAAGUCGUCCUGCUUCGGCAAGUAGCAAAGUGUGAUAACACCAUGAAACUUUUACGGAUUGAGAACUCUGGAAUUAUGUGCACGGGUAGAAAUUUUCGCAACGUCAAGGUUGGUUUCCAAGUUACUUCCAUGAAGUUCUCCCGAAGUUUAAUGCAAACCUCACAAAACACCUCAUAUCACUGUUCCGUAUCGUGGGAUUUAAUAUCGAAAAUCAAAGGAUUAAGUUAAACCAAAGAAAUAAGUAAAUAAA